This 385-nucleotide ribosomal RNA is filed under the name uncultured bacterium. Its description in RNAcentral is "bacterial SSU rRNA". It matches the Rfam family "Bacterial small subunit ribosomal RNA", at positions 28 to 414 of the family's 1533-position model. The record is from RNAcentral.
GACGAACGCUGGCGGCGUGCUUAACACAUGCAAGUCGAGCGGUAAGGCCCUUUCGGGGGUACACGAGCGGCGAACGGGUGAGUAACACGUGGGUGACCUGCCUUUAGCUCUGGGAUAAGCCUGGGAAACCGGGUCUAAUACCGGAUAUGACUCCGCGGCGCAUGUUGUGGGGUGGAAAGCCUUGUGCGGCUGGAGAUGGGCCCGCGGCCUAUCAGCUUGUUGGUGGGGUGAUGGCCUACCAAGGCGACGACGGGUAGCCGGCCUGAGAGGGCGACCGGCCACACUGGGACUGAGACACGGCCCAGACUCCUACGGGAGGCAGCAGUGGGGAAUCUUGGACAAUGGGCGCAAGCCUGAUCCAGCCAUGCCGCGUGAGGGAUGACGG